Molecule: long non-coding RNA, 1294 nt
Organism: Neopelma chrysocephalum (saffron-crested tyrant-manakin)
Lineage: Eukaryota; Metazoa; Chordata; Aves; Passeriformes; Pipridae
Exons: 2
Source: RefSeq, a predicted model, not a curated record
GUAUUGUUAAUGAGACUCAAUGAAAUAUAAAACUCUGGUGCAGUGAGAUUUUUAGAAACUUCACAUAGUUGUUAUCUAACCACAGAAGCUGUCCCAGUUUCUGUCAGGAAGAUGUACAGAACAACACACUGUUUAAUUACAUCAGGCUAUUGAAAAGCACAGAAGUGUGCACCAUCAGAAUUCCUCCAUCUGCCUUGUUGCCUUGACAUGAUGUGGUAUUCUUUGAGAUAUUAAAAAUUCUCAUCAAAUCAUGCUUCCAUUGAAGAUUGCCACAGACAGAAUUUUUGGAGUAGGGUGAGGUGCCCAUGGAACCCAGCAGAGCCACAAUAAUUUUGGACGUAAGAAAUCUUGACUGAAGCACAGCAAGACAGGGCUUUGAAAAAUACUUCUUGAUACUUUUUUUCCCCUCUUUCAUUAUUUCUCCACUUUCUAAUCUAUUUAAGCUUGAAGAGGGGUUAGAACUGCUCCCCAGAACCUAACUUCAUUGGUUGAGGCUCCAAACCUAGAUGGUGGUCAGGAUACUAAAACUCCUGCUUUCUGUGUGUUAUGUCAGCAUAACUCUCUUUCACUCACACACUUUCCUCACAAAUCAGAUACUUGCAUUGCUCACACACACGUGACAACAGUGUUCCAGAGACAGGAGAGGCAGGACCAGAAAAGGCAGGAUGCAAAACACUAGUUCCACAGAUAUUCCAGAAAAGGUAGCAUUUAGUUAUUUCGGCAUUGCAUGUUUAAUUAUGCAGUGCUGCUAUGAUUGUUUUUUUUCUGUCCAUUUUGUUCCACAGUGGCAGAACGUCACUGCGUUUGCAGUGCUUCCCUGCGUUUCACCCGAGGUAGAUGGCAGGCGCUUGUUCCCGCACAGCACCUUGGUCAGCUCCCGGGGCUGCCCCGGCGGGGCCGCCGCCGCUGCCGCCGCCCGCCUGCAGCCCCCUGCCGCCGGCCCAGCACGGUAUCGCCGAGGAAGGGCAACAGAGAAAUAAAGCACCAAUAUCGCUGUUAGGGCUGCUGAAUCUGAGUGGUUGAGGUUGAAGAUGCACAAGAAGCUGUAAGGGGACACAGCCAGGACAACUCUUUUGAAUCAGCAAAGGCAUAUUCCCUACCCUAUGAUGUGCUCAGCAACAAAACUGGGGUAAUGCAUGAAGAAGGUGUUGAGGGCCUGGGGAAUUGUCUUCUAAGCUGGCUUUUGCUCGAAGCCUGUACUGGGAUUGGUGUGCUUAUAGGGGGUGGUAAAUGACUGCCUUCGUAUGGCUUCUCUCUUUGUCUUCCCUUCACUCAUUAAACUAUCUUUAACUCA